RNAcentral lists this long non-coding RNA (2376 nucleotides) under Mus musculus (house mouse). Its description in RNAcentral is "long non-coding RNA chr12:52568647-52571023". The record is from RNAcentral. Lineage: Eukaryota; Metazoa; Chordata; Mammalia; Rodentia; Muridae.
GCUAUAUUCAAAAUUAUUUUAUUAUCAAACCCAUACCAUUUGUUUUACUGGAAAAGGAAAAGUGGUUUGCUUUUUACUGCUGGAUCAUAUUUUGUGUAGUAAAGAAAUUCUUUGGUCAAUGUUGUAAUCUUUAUAUUUCAAUUUUAAGGUUUCCUUAUCUGUAUUAUAGUAAAUUCAUGAUUUUGAGAUUCAAGGCUCCUAAGAGUUUGAUUUGCUCCAUUUUGUCUUAAAAUAUUCUUUCUCAAUUGUUAUAUCUUAGGUAUUGUACUUCCAAUUUCAACAAAGAUGUCAACAUGAACCAGGCUACUGUUUAAGUACAUGUAUAUUAUAAAUUAUCUUGUGUUAUUAUCUUUUCUAAGAGAACAAAGUCCCUAUUAUUCCUAUUGCAAAGCACACAGGAAUUUAAGAAAGUACAGUAAUUUUUAAAAAAAAAAAUAUCCGGUAAAUGUAGUAUUCUUACUUGUUCUAUAUUACUUAUACCUAUUGUCUAUAUAGCUUUAAUUUAUAGCUGUCAGUUUAACAUUGGCAUGUCUGGCAAAGAAAAUUAAACUUUAAGAGUUUUAUAAACUGUUUCUAGGUUGCUAAAGAAUUUAUUUUUCUACGAUAAAUGGUAUAGACAAAGCAUCAACUAUGUACAGGAUAAAAGCCUGACUAUUUCUAUUGAAAGUAGGCUUACAAGAGAAUUUUCAGAACUGUUCAUAUCUUUGGUUCAUUCUGUCCUAACUUUACAAUUGUAAUAUGUGAGUCCCAGUUUAUUUAAGCUAUUAUCUUUUAUAAUGUGUUAAUUUAACAUUCAUUUACAUUUAAAACUAUUUUUGUUAUUAAAAUUAGCAUUUAUAAGUUUCCACAUUAACCACCUUACACCUCUUCCAAAACUGAUAUUACUUUUCUAUGCAUUCUAUCAUUGAUUUGACACACUACAUAGUGAAUCACUUAAAUAUUCUACAUCUGGUUCAUUUUACUACUAGGUUACAGAUAUUGAAAAUUAAAGUAUGGUUUAAAGCUCAGUCUGUUACACUGACUUGUGUUUGUUUUUGGCCAAGGGUAUAGGUAUGUUUUUAAACAUUAGAACAGUAAAUCUAAGAAGUGAAUAACAUAAUUAAAUCAUUUGUUGCUUGUAAGUUAUUGCACUGUUUAGGGACACACACGUACACACAUGUGUAUAUAGAUUUAAUGGGUUUAAAGAAUAGUAGAUAGUCUUAAAAUAAUGGGUCAACAUUUGACAUUCACAAUAUUUAAAAAGUCCAUCUAUACACAUUGCCGUUGUUUCACUUACAAUUCAGUGCUUUUUAUUCCAAAAUCAGUCUCGACAGUGUUUAGAUAAUAUAAAGAAGAAUAGAGGGGUCUCUGUUUCAGGCUUUUAGUAGAUAUUUUUAGGAGUCAAAUUCUAUUUGUUAUGUACUUGCCAAGGAAUACAUAUAUCUUAACAAAAUUCCAGGUGCAAUUUAUGUGUUUAAAGUGAUAUUUUUAGUAGUACUUCCCUCCCCUCCCCGGCCCCUGCCCCUUAACACAGGGUAAAUACUGUAGGUAACAGCAAUCUAACUUACCCCAAAAAAGCAGACCUUUUUUUUUUUCUAUACUGUAUGUAAAUAUUAAAGACAUUAUGGUCGGCUGGUUGGUUGGUUGGUUGGUUGGUUGAUUUGGUUUAGUUGGGUAUUUUUUGUUUUCGUUUGUUUUUUGUUUUUGUGGUACUGAAAUCUACUUUCUAAUAUCUCUUAGAUAUAAACAAAGGGGACAUUUGAAAUGAAGUCUUAGGCUUUAACUUCCGUGAUUAUUUUUAGUUUAUUAUAGAGUAAUAAUUGGGAUGCUAUUUGUCAGUGACUUUAAAAUGUCAAAAGUGGUUUGUUUCUUUUUAUAGUUAAUAUAAUUUUAUGCUUUAUCCAGACGCUGCUGCCAUUAUCAGUAAAGCUGCUGAAUGCUGAAUGCUUUGCAUAACACAUUAAGAAGCAGUGCGAUUUUAAAUUAAAGUUGCCUAUAUUUACCAUGUUGUUGGUAAAAAUUAGCUAAUCUUAGGUAAAGUAGGAACAUUUAAAUUUUUAUAUUAAUAUAAUUAAGAUUGUACUGGAUGACUUUGUUAUUGAACUUUCCUUAUACAAUGAAAGGAAAUGAAAAACUCAUUGUGAAUAUAAGCUUUUAAAACUAGGGCCUGAGGGUGUGUAGCUCAGUUGGUAGAGUGUUUGCGUAGGUUCCACAAAGCCUUGGAGUCAGCCCUCACCCAGCACUACAUAAACCAAGCCUGUUGGCACCUAUCUAUAAUCCUAGCAUAUAGGAGAUAGAGGCAGAAAAAUCAAAAGUUCAGAAUCGUCCUUGACUACAUAGUUUGAGCAUAGCCUGCAACACAUUAGAACCUACCUUUUAAAAAGGUUUAAAAAUAGG